RNAcentral lists this ribosomal RNA (1253 nucleotides) under Riemerella anatipestifer. RNAcentral describes it as "bacterial SSU rRNA". It matches the Rfam family "Bacterial small subunit ribosomal RNA", at positions 108 to 1369 of the family's 1533-position model. Lineage: Bacteria; Pseudomonadati; Bacteroidota; Flavobacteriia; Flavobacteriales; Weeksellaceae. The record is from RNAcentral.
GCGGAACACGUGUGCAACCUGCCUUUAUCUGAGGGAUAGCCUUUCGAAAGGAAGAUUAAUACCUCAUAAUAUACUGAUUGGCAUCAAUUAGUAUUGAAAGCUCCGGCGGAUAGAGAUGGGCACGCGCAAGAUUAGAUAGUUGGUGAGGUAACGGCUCACCAAGUCAAUGAUCUUUAGGGGGCCUGAGAGGGUGAUCCCCCACACUGGUACUGAGACACGGACCAGACUCCUACGGGAGGCAGCAGUGAGGAAUAUUGGACAAUGGGUGCAAGCCUGAUCCAGCCAUCCCGCGUGAAGGACGACGGCCCUAUGGGUUGUAAACUUCUUUUGUACAGGGAUAAACCUACUCUCGUGAGGGUAGCUGAAGGUACUGUACGAAUAAGCACCGGCUAACUCCGUGCCAGCAGCCGCGGUAAUACGGAGGGUGCAGGCGUUAUCCGGAUUUAUUGGGUUUAAAGGGGCCGCAGGCGGGCUAAUAAGUCAGUGGUGAAAGCCUACAGCUUAACUGUAGAACUGCCGUUGAUACUGCUAGUCUUGAGUAUAGUUAAGGUAGCUGAAAUGAGUAGUGUACCGGUAAAAUGCAUAGAUAUUACUCAGAACCCGAUUGCGAAGGCAGGUUACCAAGUUAUAACUGACGCUGAGGGACGAAAGCGUGGGGAGCGAACAGGAUUAGAUACCCUGGUAGUCCACGCCGUAAACGAUGCUAACUCGUUUUUGGGCUAUAUGGUUCAGAGACUAAGCGAAAGUGAUAAGUUAGCCACCUGGGGAGUACGACCGCAAGGUUGAAACUCAAAGGAAUUGACGGGGGCCCGCACAAGCGGUGGAUCAUGUGGUUUAAUUCGAUGAUACGCGAGGAACCUUACCAAGGCUUAAAUGGGAAUUGAUAGCUGUAGAAAUACGGUUUUCUUCGGACAAUUUUCAAGGUGCUGCAUGGUUGUCGUCAGCUCGUGCCGUGAGGUGUUAGGUUAAGUCCUGCAACGAGCGCAACCCCUGUCACUAGUUGCCAUCAUUAAGUUGGGGACUCUAGUGAGACUGCCUACGCAAGUAGAGAGGAAGGUGGGGAUGACGUCAAAUCAUCACGGCCCUUACGCCUUGGGCCACACACGUGAUACAAUGGCCGGUACAGAGGGCAGCUACACUGCGAAGUGAUGCAAAUCUCGAAAGCCGGUCUCAGUUCGGAUUGGAGUCUGCAACUCGACUCUAUGAAGCUGGAAUCGCUAGUAAUCGCGCAUCAGCCAUGGCGCGGUGAAUAC